GACGAACGCUGGCGGCGUGCUUAACACAUGCCAGUCGAACGGAAAGGCCUCUUUCGGGGGGUACUCGAGUGGCGAACGGGUGAGUAACACGUGAGUAACCUGCCCUUGACUUUGGGAUAACUUCAGGAAACUGGGGCUAAUACCGGAUAGGAGCUCCUGCUGCAUGGUGGGGGUUGGAAAGUUUCGGCGGUUGGGGAUGGACUCGCGGCUUAUCAGCUUGUUGGUGGGGUAGUGGCUUACCAAGGCUUUGACGGGUAGCCGGCCUGAGAGGGUGACCGGCCACAUUGGGACUGAGAUACGGCCCAGACCCCUACGGGAGGCAGCAGUGGGGAAUAUUGCACAAUGGGUGGAAGCCUGAUGCAGCAACGCCGUGUGCGGGAUGACGGCCUUCGGGUUGUAAACCGCUUUCGCUCAUGACGAAGCUUUGUGUGACGGUAGUGGGUAAAGAAGCACCGGCUAACUACGUG
This 467-nucleotide ribosomal RNA is filed under the name uncultured bacterium. Its description in RNAcentral is "partial 16S ribosomal RNA". It matches the Rfam family "Bacterial small subunit ribosomal RNA", at positions 28 to 507 of the family's 1533-position model. The record is from RNAcentral.